AUGAGAAUAAGUGGUUGGAAAGAAAAUUUAUUAUCCGCCGGAGGGAAGGAAAUUCUCCUCAAAUCUAUAGUACAAGCUAUCCCCACCUAUGCUAUGUCCGUCUUUAAAAUUCCUAAAAAGAUUUGCAAAGGAAUCAUUGACGCGAUGGCGCAUUUCUGGUGGGGUGACGAGGACAAUCAGAAGAGGAUGCAUUGGAUGGCCUGGUGGAAGAUGUGUGUCCCUAAAAAUCAAGGAGGUAUGGGCUUCAGAGACAUACAUUGUUUCAAUUUAGCAUUGUUAGCUAAACAAGCGUGGCGUCUUCUAGAUAAUCCGGAUUCCUUAUGUGCUACUAUAUUGAGAGCUAAGUAUUUCCCUGACGGUGAUUUGGUGAAUGCAACUUUAAAAAAAGGCUCCUCCUUCACUUGGCAAAGUAUUAUGGCGGGAGUAAACUCUCUAAAACAUGGUUAUAUAUGGCGAGUUGGAAAUGGACAAAAUAUUGACAUUUGGGAAGAUGCUUGGAUCCCAAAUUGUGCAAAUAGGAAAAUUAUUACUCCCAGAGGAGGGCACCUCCUGUCUAGGGUUUCAGAUCUUAUUGACCCAGUCACAAGUUCUUGGGAUGAAGAUUUGAUGAGACAAACAUUGUGGCCAAUUGAUGCUCAGAGAGUCCUCUCCAUCCCGCUUCCGCUGCAUAAUAUGUCAGACUUCAUUGCUUGGAGCUACACAAAGAAUGGU
Molecule: ribosomal RNA, 711 nt
Filed under: Triticum aestivum (bread wheat)
Lineage: Eukaryota; Viridiplantae; Streptophyta; Magnoliopsida; Poales; Poaceae
Description: partial small subunit ribosomal RNA
Source: RNAcentral